RNAcentral lists this long non-coding RNA (595 nucleotides) under Homo sapiens (human). RNAcentral describes it as "HSALNT0357442". The record is from RNAcentral. Lineage: Eukaryota; Metazoa; Chordata; Mammalia; Primates; Hominidae.
CGAAUGGAAUCACCGAAUAGAAUCGAAUGGAAGAAUCAUUGAAUGGACUCAAAUGGAAUUAUCCUCAAAUGGAAUCGAAUGGAAAUAUCGAAUGCAAUCGAAUGGAAUUAUCAAAUGCAAUCGAAUAGAAUCAUCUAAUGGACUCGAAUGGAAUCAUAGAAUGGAAUGGAAUGGAAUAGUCAAUGAACUCGAAUGGAAUCAUCAUUGAAUGGAAUCGAAUGGAAUCAUCAUCAAAUGGAAUCUAAUGGAAUCAUUGAAUGGAAUUGAAUGGAAUCGUCAUCGAAUGAAUUGAAUGCAAUCAUCGAAUGGUCUCGAAUGGAAUCAUCUUCAAAUGGAAUGGAAUGGAAUCAUCGCAUAGAAUCGAAUGGAAUUAUCAUCGAAUGGACUAAAAUGGAAUCAACAUCAAACGGAAUCAAACUGAAUUAUUGAAUGGAAUCGAAGAUAAUCAUCGAAUGGACUCGAAUGGAAUCAUCUAAUGGAAUGGAAUGGAAUAAUCCAUGGACUCGAAUGCAAUCAUCUUCGAAUGGAAUCGAAUGGAAUCAUCGAAUGGACUCGAAGGGAAUAAUCAUUGAAAGGAAUCGAAUGGAAUCAUCAU